GAGGGCCGGCCGGCGGGCGCUGCUCGGCGGAGUCGGCUGGGGCGGCCCCUCGUGGCGCACAGCCCUCCCCCACCUCCACCCGCAGGAGCGUUAACCCGUCAACGCCGCGGUGGGCGGUGCGCGGCGCUUCCGGGUUCCUCAGCGCUAACCACCCCGCACGUGCGCGGCCUCCGGGGGCCUUUUUCCCGCCGCGCCGGCCCCCGCUCCGCGCUCCCUACGCUCCGAGGGGACGCCGGGUACGGGUAGGCCGGCGAGGGCCCCUCCAGGCCCAGUGUCCGAAACGUGCACGGGAGGAGCCGGUGGUGGCAGCUUCCCCCUUUUCUCCUACCCGGACCGCACUACGACUCCCAGCGGGCAGCGCCGCCACGCGCGUCGGCCGCGGAAGCGGUGCCUGCCGGGAGCUGCAGUCCUCAACGGCCGCGGCGCUCGCUCUGCCCAACUGGCCGCGGGUGCUGGCCACCGCUCGGGGACCCCAACCGUCCGGGGCGAGGGGCCCUCGUCGCCGCCCCGGGGCUGCGUGGGGAGGGGGAGGGGCUGCGUGCUGGGGUCCGAGCCUUGCUCUCCCUCCUCCGUGUCGCCGGGGUCGCUGUGGCUGGGGGGGAUCUGACCACGCGUUGCCUUGAGGUGCUAGGUUGGGGUCACUGAUUCGUGCUGUUUGUGUAUUUGCUUAGCUGGUCGCACACCGGAGAAAAACGAGUUUCUCCUGAGAGUGGGAGUUGGUCGCAGCCGUUUCGUGUAUGGCACCGCAGCCCUGCAACCAGACAAAAUUAGGAAUGGCCUACACCGCCCCAAUUAUAAAUGUUUAAAGUAAUUUCCUACGUUAGUUGUGAGCUUUAAUUAAACACUAAAUUCACUUGGUAGCCUUAAAAAUGCCAGCUCAUAGGAGUGACAGGUCAAUAUACAGAAUCUGCCGUCAGGUGGUAAUGAGCAUUUAAGCAUUUCCACAACUGUUCUAUGGUGUGUUCCUGACAGUAAUCUUGGGUGGGAGGUGGAGAAGUAAUAACUUUAUUUUACUGGUAAGGGAACAGCCUCAGGUUGAAUGAUUGCCCAAUUCGUUCUUUAAUUCAAUAAGUGUUGAUACAUGCCAACUGUGUUGCCAGGUGUGCCCUGUGUAUAUCUGCAUGCCAGUAUUUUAUAGCUGAUCGCAUUUAAUUUCAGAAUUUAAACCAAAAGAAUCACUCACGAUGCUGUUUCCCCAGUCUCGGUAGGAGGAAGGUAAUAUUUUAUGAAAAGCGUGUUGCCUUGUGUGCUUUUAUUAAAAGAGCAAAACUUAGGACUCUGCUUUGGGAAGAUACUUGUAUUACCAAAUGACAAAUCUAAGAGGGUACUUUGAAAAGUUCUGUGGAAAAACAGAAAUAAAGAGUAAAUUUAGGGGCUGAUGCUGUGGCGUAGCAAGUAAAGCUGCUGCCUGCAGUGCUGGCAUCCCAUGUGGGCGCUGGUUCAAGUUCUGGCUGCUCCACUUUCAACCCAGCUCUCUGCUAUGGCCUGGGAAAGCAGUAGAGGAUGGCCCAAGUGCUUGGGCCCCUGCACCCAAGUGAGAGACCCGGAAGAAGCUCCUGGCUCCUGGCUUUGGCCUGGCCCAAGCCUGGACAAUGUGGCCAUUGGGGGAGUGAACCAGUGGAUGGAGUACCUCUAUCUCUGCCUCUCUGUAACUCUGCUUUUCAAAUAAAGUAAAUAAAAUCUUUGAAAAAUGUAUUUUGGUGCAAAAAAGUUUAAACCCAUGUAUUUUUUUACAUUAGAGGUAUUUUCCAUGAACUUUUUGAAGGCCUCAUAUUAAAACUUUUUUAAAAUCAACCCACUAUUACCUGUGUUCACUGAAUUCCUACAAAAUGGUAAGUACUGUGUGGGUAAGGAGAAUAGAUGACACAAAAACCAAUUCCUGUUCUCAAGCGGCUUAUGAUGAGCUCCCUGGUACGUAAUAAAUACAAGCAUUGAAAUCAGUGCUGAGCCGGCGCUGUGGCAUAGCAGGUAAAGCCACUGCCUGCAGCCCCGGCAUCCCAUAUGGGUUCCAGUUUGAGUCCCAGCUGCUCCACUUCCGAUCCACCUGUGUGCUAUCGCUUGGGAAAGCAGUAGAAGAUGGCCCAAGUCCUUGGUCCCCUGUACCCAUGUGGGAGACCCGGAAGAAGCUCCUGGUACCUGUCUUCGGAUCUGGCCAGCCGUUUGCAGCUAGUUAGGGAAUGAACCAACGGAUGGAAGACUCACACACACACACACACACACACACACCUCUGUAACACUGCCUUUCCAAAUAUUUAUUUUAUUUAUUUGAAAGAGUUACAGCGAGAGGUAGAGACAGAGAGAGGUCUUCCAUCUGCUGGUUCACUCCCCAGAUGGCCGCAACGGCCAGAACUGUGCUGAUCCGAAGCCAGGAGCCAGGAUCUUCUUCCAGGUCUCCCACGUGGGUUCAGGGGCCCAAGGACUUGGACCAUCUUCUACUGAUUCCCAGGUCAUGGCAGAGAGCUGGAUCGGAAGAGGAGCAGCCGAGACUAGAACCAGCACCCAUAUGGGAUGCCGGCACCUCAGGCCAGGGCUUUAACCUGCUGUGACAAAGCGCUGGCCCCCAAUAAAUUAAAAAAAAAAAAAAAAGUGCAACAUGGACCAGCAUUAUUGCGUUGUGAGUUAAGUUGUUGCCUGGGACGUGGCAUCCCAUUUGACUAAUGGAUCAAGUCUCAGCUGCUCCACCUCCAAUCCAGCUCCCUGCUAAUGCGCCUAGGAAAGCUGCGGAAGUUGGCCCAAGUGCUUGGGCCCCUGCAACCCAUAUGGGAGAUCUGGCUAGAGUUCUUGGCUCCUGGUUUUGGCCUGGCCCAUACCCUGGAUAUUAUGGUCAUUUGGGGAGUGAACCAGUAGAUGGAAGAUCGAUCUCUUUGUAUCUUCCCUUUCUUUGUAAGGGCGCCUUUCAAGUAAAAUAAAUCUUAAAAAAAAAAAUCAAAUUCUGGCAUUUUAUUGGGCUGCAGCAAUUUUCUGUUUCUUUUUGGCUGUCAGCUCCGAUUUUUUUCUUGAAUUCUAUUGUUGCAGUUUAAAAGAAGACAUAACUUCAUUUUGGCUUUUUUAUUAAAUUACUAAACAAUAUGAAAAACCAAGUCAGCAUAAUGGAGGAGGUGUUCUCAGUAUAAAAGAGUGGAAGAGGGGCUGGCGCUGUGGCUCACUUGGCUAAUCCUCUGCCUGCGGCGCCAGAAUCCCAUAUGGGCUCCGGGUUCUAGUCCUGGUUGCUCCUCUUCCAGUCCAGCUCUCUGCUGUGGCCCUGGAGGGCUGUGGAGGAUGGCCCAAGUGCUUGGGCACCUGCACCCACAUGGGAGACCAGGAAGAAGCACCUGGCUCCUGGCUUCGGAUUGGUGUAGCUCCAGCCAUAGCGGCCAUUUUGGGGGUGAACCAACAGAAGGAAGGCCUUUCUCUGUCUUUCCCUCUCACUGUCUGUAACUCUACCUGUCAAAAAAAAAAAAAGAAGAAGAAGAAGAUCACCUCCUGUAACUUAGAAAUUAGUUUCCUGUAACUGAGAAAUUAGUUUACACCAAUAGUUAAAAUUACCAAAUUAAAAAUAGUGUAACUAUUUACACCAAUAGUUAAAAUUACCAAAACUCAGUUACUAAGAAGGCCUACCCAAGACCUUUUCAUAUACUUGUUGUGGAGGAAACAGAGGGUACAGUUUCUGAUGGCCUCAGUAAUGUGUGAUGAUAAACAACGAAAGUGAAGAUUUGUCAUGGAGCAAAUUUGGCAAGCACUGUCUCGGCUGAGUACGCCAGCGAUUAUAGGGGGUCUUACCCUCAGUUUUCACCCGAGCCUGGAUUAAAUAACUCUCUAAAGCCCUCUUUGUUAUAAAACCAUUUCAAACCAAGAACCUUCCAAUUGGUUAGUCCAGUUAAUAGUUAAGCCUCCAGGACAUGGGACAUGGAAGCCCUGAAUUGUAGACGCAAGUGUUCUAAACUAGAAAGGUAUAUCACGUGUUUGUAGGCACAUUAGUUCUUAGAUUGAUUUGUUGGAAAGGGAGUCGGCCAUCAGGACUUCUGUGUGAUUUAGUCCGUGUCAUUGUUAUCUUUUAGGGAGGUGCGUUCCAUGCAAGGGAAACUAGAAGCCAGGUCUGCCUCGGAGCUCAUAGCAUCAGGAGGAGGAUCAGAGCCCAUCCCAUGAGAACAAAAGUGAAAUCUGGAAGGAAGAACCUGUUCCUUGUGUCCAUCAAUUAUCUCUUUUUCUCUUUAUCUCCCAUCAGCUCUUUUCUCUGAUUAGAAACCUGCCCUGCUGAUCAAAAACACAACUUCCCCUGAUGACAUCCUCCUCUCAUUCACUUUCUUUUCUCAGCCACGCUUUGUGUCUUAUCUCCCUGUACUUCCUCAGCCUGCGGGCAGUGGGACUGCCUUCACCUCCUGACUUCCCUGCCCGCGGCUGCCCUUGACCUGCUGCUACUUGACAGUCCAACAGACUUUCUCCAGAUCCAUUCUACCUGACAGCUGUGGAGUUUGACCGUUUUCCUCCCUCUCUCUUUCUCUUUUGAAAACCUAUUCGUCUGGCGUUUGGCUCCCUUCUGCCCCGCUCUCAGAAUGCUCUUCUCCAGUAACCUUUCCCUGACCACCCAGUCUGGCUGGGUAGCUUUGCUUAGAGCUUCACCCUGACCAGCCCUCUGCCACUGCAUUUACCACAUUAUAUUAAAAUGUUCUGUCAGCUGUCUCCCAGGAUAAAUUGUAAGCUCCAGAAGAAGGCAUAUUUACCUGCAGCCCUACCACCUAGCCUGAAGCCAGGCACAUUGUAGGGGUGUGUGUGUGUUUAACCUAACAUCAGGGAGGAAGUCAGCCAGGCUUGGCCGUGAACUUGGCUUGUGGACUGACCACAUAGGAUGGGGGUUAACAGGGAGUCUCAACCUGAAGUUCACGUGGGCACCCAGGCUGGUCACCUCCAGAGCACGUGGCCUGCUGCAGUGUAUAACUUCCAAACUCCAUCAGCUGUUGGAAGCUGUGGUCCCUAACAUGCUGGUCGGGCUGUCAGGUCUGGUGCUGAGCUUGGAGAUAGUGGACUUUCGGGACCCAAAGUCAGGCAAGUGGGCACAUACCAGGAGUGCUGGAUAAAAGGAGUUUCCGGACAUCUGAGACUGGAGGUUGCUGUUCCAACAUCCGUCAGGGACCCUCACACAGCCUCCCUCUUUAACUUAAUACCAUUGCUUCUGCAGAGGUAAUUAUGGCUACAGAUGAAAGGCAGGAGAUAAAAUAUUUGCCAAUUCCCUUUGCCUUUUUAACUCACUAUGUUCAUUUUUCUCUUCCAUCAUUUCUUUUUGGCUGAAAAAAAAAGUGCUGCCUAUGUUUGUCUGGCUUGCCUGUGUUUAUCUAAUUUUAGAUUGCAAGCUGUGGGGUAGAAUCCUGUCUUUAUAUGUGCAGCAUCUCACUGUGGGGGCCUAAGAAUGUCUAAUGACAUCAACAUCUUUCAAUUAACCUGUUUUAUUUAAAUGACUGUAUUGUAAAGUUCUCCAGGGAAUUUGUGCACUUGAAUUUCACUGAACACGUAUAAAUAAUUUCCAGUCUCUAUCCAGUGUAUAUUCAGAACGUAGCCAUAAUAGUUUAGAGUAUCCUGUAUGAUGCAAGAUGAAGCCAAGGUUGACUGGCAUCUUAAGGUCCUUAGAUAAUACUGAGAUACAUGUGUGAGAGGGAUGAUGAGUGGAUAGAGCAGCCUCCUCCCAUCUGAAAGAGGAUACCUUCCCUAAGUCCUCGACUUAGAAAAAUCUAAUAUAAUGUCAUGAUAAGACCCAAACCAAGUAAUGCUUCAAAGAUUAUUGGCGUCUCCCUACACCAGCUUGCUGGGGUGAGGAGAAAGACAGUGAACGGUCAUGUCCAUGAUCAGAAGGACUUCCUGUAAUGAGUCUCAGUCAGAUUUUACACUUUCUUCCAUGUGCAUUACGUGUUUUCCUCAUACCUAUCCAGAACAAAGGGUUUGUAGAAGAGUUUGAAGUUGGGUCCUGGCCCAGGAGUGUGUGUCAGAUGUUAUAACCUGUCACUGGCUCUGAGAAAAAGGCUGCCAAGUGAGAAGACCUGAAUCUUGAAACAGAAACCCAGGUAGGGUCAUAAACAGACUAAUAAAGAAAGAAACAAUAUUGAAAGGAAACUGAAAGGAAAUCUCAGAGUACUAAGGAUUCUUACCAAGUGCUCUUUUGAUGCCACACAGUCAUCUGUGUUAAACCAGUGACCUUGUUAUAAUGCGUGUUUACUACAACCAAGAUACUGCCUCCUACCUAAUAGAAUUAUUGUGAGACUUAAGUAAGAUAAUACAUUCACACACUACAUAAUGACAUUUAAGUCGAGGCUGGACUACAUAUACAACCAUGGUCCCAUAAGAUUCUAAUGAAGCUGAAAAAUUCCUAUUGCUUAGUGAUGUCAUAGCCCCUGUAAUGUCAUAGUGCAAUGCACUAUUCAUCUGUCUUGUGGGUGACGCUGGUGCGAAUUACUGUACUGCCAAUCAUAUAGCAAAAAUAUAGUAAUUCAGUUAUGUACAGUACAUAAUACCUGGUAAUGCUAAUAAAUAUCUGUUAUUGAUCUGUAUUUACUAUACCAUGCUCAAUCAUUUUCUGAAGAAUUUUUGUUCAUUUGACAAACAGAGACAGAGAGCACCUGUCCACUGGUUUGCUUCCCAAAUGUUUGCAAUGUCCCCUAGGGGCCAAAGAUAGGAGCUGGGAACUCAGUACAGGUCCCCCACAUGGGUGGCAGGGGUCCAAUUUCUUGAGUCAUCUCACUGUGGCCUCCAAGGGUCUGUGUUGGUAGGAAGCUGGAGUCAGCAGCGGGAGGGGAGAACUGAGCCCAGGCACUCUGAUGUGUAACAUGGGCAUCUUAACAGGUGGGCUAAAUGCUCGCUGCCUAUGCUUGUUUUAGAGUGUACUCUUAAAAAAAAGGUGACUGUGAAACAGGAUGCUAUGUUAUGCUGGAAGCAGCUGCAUUCAGCUCUUGUUCAUAGACCUCCUAACUGCUCCAAGAAGCUAUCUUGAGUGAUUGACCUCUACUGUGGGUUUGUUGCAGGCCCAUCGCAGGAUGUGAGCACAGUGACACAAUGGCCGACAACACAAUUUUUUCAGAACACGUCCUUGUUGUUAAAAGACACACAGGGGCUGGUGCUGCGGUGUAGUGGGUUAAGCUGCUGCCUGUGAUGCUGGCAUCCCAUAUGGGCUCAGGUACAAGUCCCCCGGCUGCUCCACUUCUGAACUAGCUCCCUGCUAAUGCACCUGGGAAAGCAGAAGAUGGCCCAUGUGCUUAGGCCCAUGCCUCCCAUGAGGGAGACCUGGAUGAAGCUCCUGGCUCCUGGCUUUGGCCUGGCCCAGCCUUGGCCAUUAAAACCACCUGGGGAAUGAACCAGAGGAUGGAAGAUUCUCUCUCUCUCUAACUCUGACUUCCAAAUAAGUAAAAAAAAAUUUUAAGAUUCUUUAUUUGAAAGAGUUACAGAGAGAGAGAGGGAGAAUAUUAGUAGCUAAUAUUGAAAAUGGGUAAAGUUGUAUUGAAACCUUAUAUAACCUUACCAGGCAGUAAACUACAGUAGCACUAAUGAGGAAACUGAGUCAUAAUAAGUGGAGCUACUUUGAUUCAAACACAGGCAGUACAAGCUGCUAACUGGGGCACCUGCAUCCCAUAUCCGAGUGCCUGAUUCAAGUCCUGGCUGCUGCGCUUUGGAUCCAGCUUCCUGCCAAUGUGCCUCCUGGGAGCAGCAGGUUAUAUCAAGUGUUUGGGCCCCUGCCACCUGUGUGGGAGAUCCAGAUAGAGUUCCAGGCUCCUGGCCCACCUCUGGCUGUGGCGGGCAUUUGGGGAGUUAACCAGCAGGUGGAAGAUCUCUCUCUAUGUGUCUUUCUCUGUCUCUCUGCUUUUCAAAUAAAUUGAAAACAAAUAAAUCAAAUUCUAAAAUAAUACUUAAAAAAGAAUGAAGUCUCUGGUCAGGGAGUUCAGGGAGGAUCAGCACUUGAGAUAUGAGAGGAAGGAGUAUUGUAAAGUAGCAGAAAUGUGCUGGAGGUGGGAAUACACAGCUUGUGCUAAGGGGAGGAUGGAUCUCAUGCAUGAAACAUGGCAGACGGCAGAAGGCAAAGGCAAGUGGGACAGGGGGACAAGGACAGAACAAAUAGACGAGGCCUUGAGCAUGGGAGAAAUGGACUGGGGCUCGAAUGAAAAGGGGGCACAGGAUGUAAUCUUUUGGUCUCAUGGUUUUUUCCAUAAAGAAUUCCUGGCCGUGGCGGACUGGACUGGAAAGAGGAGAGACAAAGGAAGUCCAAUUAAGAUAUUCUUAGAAUGGCUCACUUUGGUCUUCCUGGAAGCAAAGUCAAAGAAAAACAAGUUCAUGCUGUCUAGUGAAAAGAUGCACACCAGUUUUAUUCAACAUUCACUGGAUGAUACAUUUAGUGCCUUCAAACAUCGCAGGUAGAGACAUGGACAAGAGCAUCUCUACCUUGAAGAAGAAUGCCUAGUUCAAGUCCUGACUACUCCUCGCCCGAUGCAGCUUCCUGAUACUGUGCCUGGGAGGCAGCAGGCGAUCGCUGAUGUACCUGGGUCGCUGGCACCCACACGGGGAGUCUUCAGUGGAGUUCCUGGCUCUUGGCUUCUACCUGGCCCAGCGCUGGCCUCUGUGGGCAUUUAGGGAGUGAAUUAGAGGAUGAAAGUCCCCUCUCUGUCUCUCUGCCUUUCAAAUAAAAAUUAAAAUAAAUAACUGCAAAUUUUAAAAAUUGCUAUAACAGGUUACCCAGUGACACCAUUUCAUUUUCACUAAUAAUUUCUGAACGCCAUUCAUUUCCUUUUAUAUAAAAAUCUAUUUUAAAAAUAUAAUAUGCAGGUAGCCUAUCUGCCUUUUAACUAUUGAUAAGAUAAUUUGCAUAUUUAAAAUAACCCUAGUUUGUCAUGAGAAAAAAGUGAGAAACUGAAAGUCACUGCAGGGGCCAGCUCUGUUGCGUAGCGGGUAAAGUCACUGCCUGCAGUGCCGGCAUCCCGUAUGGGUGCCAGUUCGAGACCUGGCUGCUCCACUUCUGAUCCAGAUCUCUGCUAUGGCCUGGGAAAACAAUAAAAGAUGGUCCAAGUCCUUGGGCCCCUGCACCUAUGUGGGAGACCCAGAAGAAGCUCCUGGCUCCCGGCUUCGGAUCAGUGCAGCUCUGGCUGUUGAGGCCAUCUGGGGAGUGAACCAGUGGAUGGAAGACCUCUUUCUCUCUCUGCCUUUCUUUCUCUCUCUUUGUAACUCUGGCUUUCAAAUAAAUAAAUCUUAAAAAAAAAAAUCACUGCCAUCCAAGAACUCAGAGGUGACAAUUGUCUGCCUGCCUGUCAUGUCCACAUGUGAACCAAGACAAGAGGACUAGACCAUACCUUUGUAAAUAUUAGACAAGCACACAGGACGAAGAGCUAUCAUGAAUGGCAAAAUAAUUGAUCUGACCAUCCUUAGUGAGGUGCAUUAGAAGAGAAAAGCAAAGAAAAAUUUGAAUGUUAUUCAACGGUUUUACUGUUAGGAUUAAUAUUUGCAUUACUAUCUUAUACUUUCCUGCAUUGGCAGAUAAAAGCAAUUUUGCUAACUUUGUCAAGAAUACAGCAUUUUUAUUUGGAGUGGUAACUGAAUGUUUCAUUUAUUAUAAAGAAAGGAAAAUACAGUUAUCAUCUGGAAAAAUAAAAAGUGGAAGCAAGCUUGUGGUUAUGUGAGAACUAAGUUGGAAAUAUUAAUAGAAACCAAUACCAUUUAACAAAAUAUAUCUUUUCUUGGUUUGUUCAUUGAAAUGUCCAAGAAACAAUAUUAUUGCUGCAUUGUAAAUGUGAUCGUAUGUGUGUCUGCUAUCUACAUUUUUGGAUCAAAUGCCAUUUUCAAUGAAAAGAACCAGUAUGCCAUAGAGAUAUACCAAUUGCAUGUCUCAGCCUUAGAAGGUACCAGUCAGUCUUGGAACAUCUUGCUGGGUCAGAAAGCAAGGAUGCUUUUUUUUUUCUUUAAGGGAAGACUUUAAAAAAUUUUUUUUUAAAGAUUUUUAUUUGAAAGUUACAGAGAGAGGUAGAGACAGAGAGUGAGGUUUUCCAUCCGCUGGUUCAUUCUCCAGAUGGCUGCGCUGAUCCAAAGCCAGGAGUCAGAAGCUUCUUCUGGGUUUCCCACAUGGGUGCAGGGGCCCAAGGACUUGGGCCAUCUUCUACUGCUUUCCCAGGCCAUAGCAGAGAGCUGGACUGGAAGUGGAGCAGCCGGGACUAGAACUGGUGCCCAUAUGGGAUGCUGACACUUCAGGCCAGGGCUUUAAUCUGAAGCACCACAGUACCGGCCCCAGCAAGGAUGCUUUUAUUUAUUUUUUUUAAGCUUGUGGUAAUGUGCUUUAUCUUUUUUUAAAUGUUUAUUUAUUUGAAAUGCAGAGUUACAGAGAGGCAGAGGCAGAGAGAGAGAGAGAGAGAGAGAGAGAGAGAGGUCUUCCAUCCGCUGGUUCACUCCCUAAGUGGCUGCAACAGUUGGAGCUGGGCCGAGGAGUCAGGAGCUAGGAGCUUCUUCUGGUUCUCCCACCAGGGUGCAGGGGUCCAAGGACUGGGGCCAUCUUCCACUGCUUUCCCAGGCCAUGGCAGAGAGCCGUAUUGGAAGUAGAGAGCCGGGACUCGAACUUGAGCCCUUAAGGGAUGCCCAUGCAGUGCCGGUCCUACAAAGAUGCUUUUAAAAAAUAUUGAUACUACAUAAAAGAAUGCAGAAACCAGCUUCAAGGGACUUCAAUUGAUUAAAUUCUAUCAAUUUGAAUAUCAAUAGAAAAAUGAUGACUAUGGGUGGUUAAAAUACAUUUUGUGAAAAGC
Molecule: non-coding RNA, 10733 nt
Organism: Oryctolagus cuniculus (rabbit)
Lineage: Eukaryota; Metazoa; Chordata; Mammalia; Lagomorpha; Leporidae
Source: RefSeq, a predicted model, not a curated record